GCCUACGUACAUACCAGUCUGAAAGUGCCUGAUCUCGUCAGAUCUCAGAAGUCAUGCAGACUUGGGCCUGCUUAGUACUUGUAUGUGAGACUAACUAGGAACCUCAGGAGCCGUAAGCU
RNAcentral lists this ribosomal RNA (119 nucleotides) under Pelobates cultripes (western spadefoot toad). The record is from RNAcentral. Lineage: Eukaryota; Metazoa; Chordata; Amphibia; Anura; Pelobatidae.